AGUGUAUUGUGAGUAUUCAAAAAGUUUCAGGUUUUGGAGCAUUUCAGAAUUUGGAUUUUUGGAUUAGGGAUGCUCA
This 76-nucleotide microRNA precursor is filed under the name Tupaia belangeri (northern tree shrew). RNAcentral's name for it is "miRNA (ENSTBEG00000019899.1)". Lineage: Eukaryota; Metazoa; Chordata; Mammalia; Scandentia; Tupaiidae. The record is from RNAcentral.